UUUAAAUGUAAAAUAAAUUUACUAAAGUAGUAAUAGUUAUGUUCUUGAAAUUUAAAGAUUUUGGCGGUAUUUUAGUCUAUUUAGAGGAACCUGUUCUAUAAUUGAUAAUCCACGAUUAACUUUACUUAUUUUAUAAAUUUGUAUACCGUCGUUAUUAGAAAAUUUUAAUAGAAUAAAAAUUUUUAAUAUUUUAUAUUAAAAAAUAUAUCAGAUCAAGGUGCAGUUAAUAUUUAAGAAGAAAUGGGUUACAAUAAAUUUAUUUAUAUGGAUUAAAAUAUUAACAGUUUUAUGAAGGUGGAUUUAAUAGUAAUUAAAUUAAUAUAAGUUUUUUGAUUUUAGCUCUAAAAUAUGU
Molecule: ribosomal RNA, 352 nt
Filed under: Percus stultus
Lineage: Eukaryota; Metazoa; Arthropoda; Insecta; Coleoptera; Carabidae
Description: partial 12S ribosomal RNA
Source: RNAcentral